CCUACGGGAGGCUGCAGUGGGGAAUAUUGGACAAUGGGGGCAACCCUGAUCCAGCCAUGCCGCGUGUGUGAAGAAGGCCCUCGGGUCGUAAAGCACUUUCAGUGAGGAAGAACGCCUGGUGGUUAAUACCCAUCAGGAAAGACAUCACUCACAGAAGAAGCACCGGCUAACUCCGUGCCAGCAGCCGCGGUAAUACGGAGGGUGCGAGCGUUAAUCGGAAUUACUGGGCGUAAAGCGCGCGUAGGUGGCUUGAUAAGCCGGUUGUGAAAGCCCCGGGCUCAACCUGGGAACGGCAUCCGGAACUGUCAAGCUAGAGUGCAGGAGAGGAAGGUAGAAUUCCCGGUGUAGCGGUGAAAUGCGUAGAGAUCGGGAGGAAUACCAGUGGCGAAGGCGGCCUUCUGGACUGACACUGACACUGAGGUGCGAAAGCGUGGGUAGCAAACAGGAUUAGAUACCCCUGUAGUC
RNAcentral lists this ribosomal RNA (465 nucleotides) under Vreelandella stevensii. RNAcentral describes it as "partial 16S ribosomal RNA". It matches the Rfam family "Bacterial small subunit ribosomal RNA", at positions 338 to 795 of the family's 1533-position model. Lineage: Bacteria; Pseudomonadati; Pseudomonadota; Gammaproteobacteria; Oceanospirillales; Halomonadaceae. The record is from RNAcentral.